Long non-coding RNA from Rhinolophus ferrumequinum (greater horseshoe bat), 679 nucleotides. RefSeq lists it as uncharacterized. The transcript has 3 exons. The record is from RefSeq and is a predicted model, not a curated record. Lineage: Eukaryota; Metazoa; Chordata; Mammalia; Chiroptera; Rhinolophidae.
CGGCGGGGACUUCGGGACUGCGCGUGCGCGGCUGCGCCCCACCUCCCUCCACUCCUCCGGGUUUUACCAGAGCUGAGAGGAUGAGGUUUUACAGAUGAAGGAACCAAAGUGAUGUGCCUGAAUUCUCACAGGAUCUCAACCCCUGGGAGGAGAAUGUAAGAUGCAAAUGGAAAGCAGUGACCUCACGAUUUUCUGCAACUACUGCUGCUUCUUCAAUGGGUAGGAAGCCGACCACAGAAGCAUCUUGGUUUUGGGGUGUUUUUUUUUUGCCUCUUGCUUUUUGAUGGUCCCUUAGGACAGAGCAAAACAACAAGCACAAAAGAGCCUGCCUUCAGGUAACUAAAACUUGACACUACCAGGAUGGAGUCUGUCCAGCUGCUUUCUCUCUCACCAAAAUGCACCUUGAAAUCUGCCUUCCUUUGGUUGAUUGAGAAUGACUUAAAAUAGUUAAAUAUCAUUUCUUCUUAUUGACAUCUACACGAUGGAAAUCUGUCCUUGGAGUUCCCUGCAGACAACUUUCUCCCAUGAUACUCUUUCUAUCUGCUUUGUUUUUGGAUGCUGUCAUGCGAGGUCUCUGGUCCUGUUCUCCACACAAGAACACAGGAUAUGGUGAGGCCAAAAAGGAACACCAGCAGAGUCAUAGAUAGGGGAUAGGGGAGUCACACCACUAUAUUCUCAC